Folsomia candida is the source of this 2425-nucleotide RNA transcript. RefSeq lists it as uncharacterized. NCBI's taxonomy places the organism in Eukaryota, Metazoa, Arthropoda, Collembola, Entomobryomorpha, Isotomidae. The record is from RefSeq and is a predicted model, not a curated record. The transcript has 6 exons.
AAAAUACUUAUGUUCCUCUAAUCAUAAAUAUUAUGUGCUUGAGAGUCAAUGCAUUUAUGCACCUGCGAAUUUAAAUAUUUAUCCUUUAGAAUUACCAAAUUAGCAAAUAUAUACAUAAAUAUUUCCAGUGACAAUAUAACGGCGAAAUAAUGGCCAAAACACCUUCCGACGGUGUUCUUAAACCGAAAUACAACACUGAUUGCGAGAUGCGGUCGGUUAUCCUGCCUUAUCGGGAAGGUGUUAAGUACACUUUUGGCGAUGAGUUCAUCUCUCGGGAGGAGCAGGGCGAAUUCGUCUUCCUAAAUGUCAAACCCAUCAAGUGGAACUGGAGUCCCACCUCACUCGUGGAAAUUUCCUGUGAAGCUGGCAAAUACUUGGUCAAAUCGGGCGAGGUUAAUAUAGUCAUCAAAAACGGGGUCAUCCUUGAUGUCCUUGCCUACUCCGGAACGUGGCUGAAUUUUGGGGAUGAGUUGCAGUUCACAAAAUAUCAUGACGACAUUUCCGGUGGACUUGCCAUGUUCACUUUUCAAAAACGAGAAUGCGCCACCAAUUGGGAUACGACAGUUGGACAAAAUUCGAUUGGAUCUGGGGUAGAAGAAAAUAGUUCUGGAUUAAAUUUCAAUCCGGGAUUAAAUCAAGUAAUAUUCUCUCACAUUGUGUCCCACCUUUCCCUCGGAAACUUACUGAGCGUUCGACUAGUUUGCAAACAGUGGGACAAACACGUGGCCCCCCUAGUGCGGAAGAAAUGUGUCAUAAAUUUCCGUAAUUCGAGUACCACUCCGUCCCUGAAAUUUUCACGGUACGUCCAUGAAAUGAAGGGCGUCGCACCCUUCCCAAAUUGGACGAUUAACUGUCCCUACUCCGUCCCUGGAAAAAGAGACGACGAUAAAGGACGCGCCGCCAAGUAUUUCGCAGAUUUGAACUGGUUUCUCCACCCGCGCUGGGGACACCACGUGAAAACCUUGUCGCUAAGUGGACACAUCUACUCCGACCCAGAUUACGGUGUUUACAUCAAAAUCGUUACUUUCUUUAAGGAUACUUUGGAACAAUUAAGGGUCCACUUCUACAUGAAAAUUUUCAACGAGGAUGGACACGAAGAGAACUAUUCUAUGAAGAAGAGUGACGAUCUAGUUUUCAAAAAUUUGCAGAAAUUUUCCAUGACCAUACUUCCCUAUGACUCGGGAACGUUGACAGUUUCCGCGCCUUGGAUUAAGACUUGGGCGUGCGCGAUUAAAGGUGUGGAUUCUAUGGAAGUCCUCGGAUCGGCUUGGCUGGGGUCAAGAUUUGUCCAGGAGUUGCAAAAAGUGGGAACUUUGUCUUAUAAAAAUUUGAGGGAGAUCGUGCUAACGUGCAGGUCAGAGGAUGCCAUCAAUUUUCUCACCAAGGUUAAGCAACCCUUGAAAAAGGUGACGUUUGGGGAACCUCUGGAAAUCAGGGACGUUCCAAAGUUUGAGAAUUUCCUCAAGAAAUGUGCCGGAUCUUUGCAACUUCUCAGUUUUCGAAUAUCUACAAAAGGCAUGGAAGAAAAGUCCCGUUUCGCCUUGAAUUUCCCGUGUCUCCGGAACCUGAAAAAAUUGGAUAUUCAUUUUGGACUCUUCAAACCCUACCAUUUUGGUGAAGAGAAGUGUUUUAUCAAAGACGUGGCACGAUUUAGACUCUCAUUCCCCCCACUGUCAUUUGGAAAUGAUCGUAUCGACCAUGGGCGCCACCUUCCCUUGAUUCGUUCCAUCGUGGUGACACCGUCGUUAAGUGGGGCUGAUGAGAGGGCCGAGUUCUGGAACACGUACAGCGACCUGAUUGACAGUCUCCUGCCAAAGGUUGCGCAUAGUUGCGAAACGCUUAGAAAUUUUGAAAUUCCGAGUAAUCUAGAGUUUAACGUAAAAACCUCACUUCUUCGAGGGGACGAACUGCCAGACAUAUUUCCCAAUGUGAGGAGCAAAUGGAUCAAUGAUUUGCAGACAAUUAGCAACAAUUAAAACAUUGGGUGCAAAGUUAAAUUGAAAUUCGGUAAUGAAAUGAACGUGCAUGAGUGAUGCUUACAAUGCGAUGGUGUGAAGUUUCUUGUUAAUGUAAAACGAUUAUUAUUUUUUGUCCAUAUCAUAUCAAGUGCCUUAUAUCGUAUCGUACUUGUUCAAUUUGCAACGAUAAUAAUUUAUCAGAGGAUGGAUAUGAUUUUUUCAAUUUGUUUUCAAUAACCAGGUCCGAAAUUUGCAAGUUUUUUCUCUAACUCUUAAUAGAUUAUACAAAUUUCAUGGUUUUACAUAUUACUUUAACUUUGUAUUCAUAUAAAUAAUCGUCAUAAUGAUAAUAAUAAUCAGUAAUACUGAUUCAGUAUAAUAAUAAGUAAGAAUUUGUGAACGAUACAUCUUGACGAUAUAUCUACCUCUGAAAUAUAUGCUCCAGAAAAGAUGCAUCAGUCGGCAAG